RNAcentral lists this ribosomal RNA (373 nucleotides) under uncultured bacterium. RNAcentral describes it as "bacterial SSU rRNA". It matches the Rfam family "Bacterial small subunit ribosomal RNA", at positions 1134 to 1506 of the family's 1533-position model. The record is from RNAcentral.
UCAACUCUAGCGAGACUGCCGGUGACAAACCGGAGGAAGGUGGGGAUGACGUCAAAUCAUCAUGCCCCUUAUGACCUGGGCUACACACGUGCUACAAUGGGAAGUACAACGAGUCGCGAAGUCGCGAGGCUAAGCUAAUCUCUUAAAGCUUCUCUCAGUUCGGAUUGUAGGCUGCAACUCGCCUACAUGAAGCCGGAAUCGCUAGUAAUCGCGGAUCAGCACGCCGCGGUGAAUACGUUCCCGGGCCUUGUACACACCGCCCGUCACACCACGAGAGUUUGUAACACCCGAAGUCGGUGAGGUAACCUUUUGGAGCCAGCCGCCUAAGGUGGGAUAGAUGAUUGGGGUGAAGUCGUAACAAGGUAACCGUAAA